Molecule: long non-coding RNA, 3010 nt
Organism: Cygnus olor (mute swan)
Lineage: Eukaryota; Metazoa; Chordata; Aves; Anseriformes; Anatidae
Exons: 8
Source: RefSeq, a predicted model, not a curated record
AGUUGCAAUGAGAGUGAUGCAAUAUGUGGAAACCAUAAAGCAUGUUAGAUUUGACUUUACUCUCUCUACUGACUUACCUUAAAAUACUCAGUUAAGUUUAGAAGCUCUGUGCUUUUCUUUCAAGCCCCAAAUUCAAGCAGAAGUCUUGGUUCUUGCAUUUCAGGUGUUAGAAAGCAUUCCAUGCCCAAGAACAAACAAACAAAGCAUCCAUGUUGCUUUGAAAGAUGAAGAGAGAAGAGAAAAAACAGACUAAAAGUACAUCUUGCUCUUAGUGGACUACUCUGAAGUAUGAGCGGAGACAGUAUGGAAUAGAAUAGGUCACCUGAAAACUGUUUGCCAUAGUUGCCAUUGUUUUCCAUGGUUUCUACAACCAUAGAGAAAUCAAAUGAUAUCUUUGUUUUACAGUUUUUCCUUUCUCAAACUGAUAAAAAUAGUACUCUUUUCAUCUACUUCAGAGGGGUGUUGUAAAGACAAAUAUCUUGAGGCUUGCUAACAGCUAAGAUCCUAAUGUGUGCAAAUAACCAUAAUGUGUCCUCACAGCAAAUUUUGUCUUAUCUGAGCCCUCUUUUGCAAUCACGCAUUACAGACGUUGUCCUACCUUUGCUGACUACAAGGUAAUUCAGUAUUUUACCUUACUUUUAUUAUUAUUUUUUUAAGUUCAUUUGUCUGCCUAAUCAGUUCCUGAUACUUCUGCACUAGAAGUUUCCCCAGAGGGCUGAGGGUGAUGCCUGGCAAGGGAAGGUGUGAGGGACUUGAUGACCAGUUCCUGGUGCAAUUAUGUCCUUCUGAGCAGAGGGGAAGCCAGGAAUAACUUCUGCAGAAAAACUGCAGAAAGGGUAAACUGGGGGAGAUGAAAAGAAAUUGCUACUGGGCUACAAAAAUAGGAACAUAAAGAGAACAAGAAGUAUGGAAUGGGAGACACAUACAAGUAAAAUGCCAAGGUCAGUACCAUUAAGUCUCACAAGACCUUGUGUUUACUGGUCAUAUCAAAGGCUAUGUAUGUCUAGCACAACAUGUGUUCCUUCCCUCACCUGGUAUUUAGUCAUUGCUUGUGAUGGUGAAUCAGACAGGUCACCCUAGUGCUUUGCUCCAGCCCAUCUUGCGCACAGCGUGGCACCAAACUGAUGGCUGCUCCUUGCCCUGCGACUCCCAGCUUCCCUUAGCUUUCACACAGCGAGUUGCCUCUGAUCUAAACAUCUUCAGCUGCUGCCCUCCUCGUAGGGGGCCUCAUGUUUGGCAGCCGCUGCUGGAUCAGGCCCAUGCAACGGCUAUCACAGCUUGUCUUCUCCAGCUUAGCUCCAGGUUACCAGAGUCCAAGAACGAAGCAAAAGUUCUUUGAUCCCGACAAUGGUGCAGCGCAUGUGACAUGCAUCAGCAGCAUGAAGGCAGAGGGACCAGGACAGGUCUCAUCUGGAAAGGGGCUGAGCAUUAGGGUGGGUGUCAUGGGGAAGAUCUACGAUGAGGUAACAGCUGUUUGCAUAAUGGGGACUGGAUGGGCACAAGUCAUGAAAGACAAAGUCAGGCCAAGGGCCCGUAGGAUCCAGGAGGCCUUCGCACCCAUGAAAACACCGCUGCUGAGUCAGGCCCGGGGCUGCUUGCACACCCAAGAAAUACACAUGUGCUGAUAGAAAGCAGAUUUAAAAGGUACCUAAAAUAAUAGUUUGUUAAGACAGUAUUACAGUCAUAUAACUUGUUGGGAAAAGCACACCAUGGCUCAAAAUCUGAAUUAAACAUGUGUCAUUGUGGAGAAGGAAGAAAUAUUCCACCUUCCAGAAACCUGAUAUUUUGGACCAGAUCCCUCUCUGAACAGGUUGUAUGCUGCCCUUUUCAAAAUCAAGCUAUCAGAAGAUGCCCUUCAGCAGAAGUGUUAAGAGGACUUGGUGAGCUUAACAUGUUUCGCCUGCUUAAUUUAAUUUGGAAAAAUUCAACCAGAAAAUGAAGUUAUUAACAGUAUAAAGGAAGGUGUAUACUCAAGAAUUGCUAUCGGACCAUGUUGCUGAAGAUAACAAGUCACUAAUGGAAAAGCAGAAAUGUUUUGAGGAGCAGUAUCUGCCACCCUCUCUUCUGUACUAACCACCAACAGCUGGAGACCAGGCAGCAGAAAGGCAAGAGGAGCACGUCUCAUAGAUGCGUGUGCUUAGGCUUGAGGCUGAGCAAAGUUUCCAGGAGAAAGGAAUAGUAGGAUGUGAGAUCUACCUCAGAGACAGGCAAGUCCCCUUUCCACACCGGUAAGGAAGGUCUUUUUGCUGGCAGCAGGGCCCCGGAGCACCCAACGGCGUCGGUCUGCUGCCUCCCACGGCUGCAGCUAUCUGCUCUGCGCACGACAAAUGGCCGGGGCCGUGGCACCUUCAACUUUUGCAGCUGGUUCCUCUUGAACGUAGUCUUGCAGAAAGCAAAAUGUCAAGGUAAAAGAAAUAAUUGACCAUAGAAAGCAAGAAGCUGAAUGUCUGCUGCACAUCACGGAUGUUAAGUGUGGAGCAUCCAGUGUUCAUAGCUGUCCCAUCAUGAAGUGAAAGUGCUGGGGAAGAAGGAAGGCUGCCCUCCUCACCCUGCCCGUGCUGGGGCCACCUUGAUUUGCACUGCAACCAUACCUGGCUGGGCUUAUGGAAGUGGAUGGUUUAGAAAUCCACAUGAAGAAAAAAAAAAAGCUAAACAAACAAACCCACAAAAACAACAACAACAAACACACACACACACACACACAACCAUUAGCUUCACAGAUACAGGAAUAUCAGGGCUUUAGGCAGAGUUGGGACCACCCUGUACACAGAUGAGAUGAAACUGCAUUAGCUCAGCCUGACUAUCAGUUUGUAUACUGUCAUCCAGGCUGGAUAUUUCUAAAGUUUUCAGAGAAAACAGCAUCUUUUCUGGCUACUUGGUUUCCCUCUCAUUCUUAAUAUUUGAACUACACACUUCUUCAUAUUUGUUAUAAACAGCCCACUUGUUGUUCCUUGUUCCAUAUUCAUGAAGGUACUUUUUAAUAAUUACUUUGUGUAUUUUUAUUUUUUUA